This 200-nucleotide ribosomal RNA is filed under the name uncultured bacterium. RNAcentral describes it as "partial 16S ribosomal RNA". It matches the Rfam family "Bacterial small subunit ribosomal RNA", at positions 32 to 222 of the family's 1533-position model. The record is from RNAcentral.
AAUCAACGCUGGCGGCGUGCCUCAGACAUGCAAGUCGAACGAUUAAGACUUCCUUCGGGAAGUGUAUAAAGUGGCGCACGGGUGAGUAACACGUAAGUAAUCUACCCUCGAGUGGGGAAUAACGUUCGGAAACGAACGCUAAUACCGCAUAACGCAGCGGCACCGCAAGGUGACAGUUGUUAAAGGAGUAAUUCGCUUGA